CUGCCACCGCGAGCGCAGAUGUGCGACGGAGUCCGCUGCGGUGGUGGUGAGAGUAUUGAGACGUCCAUCGCACCGCGUGCGCAAUCCGUGUUCGCGGCCCGAGAACGGGAGAGAACGCUGAGCGUUACAAC
Corynebacterium uterequi is the source of this 131-nucleotide regulatory RNA element. It matches the Rfam family "atpB RNA". The record is from Rfam. NCBI's taxonomy places the organism in Bacteria, Bacillati, Actinomycetota, Actinomycetes, Mycobacteriales, Corynebacteriaceae.